GGGAUUGUUGUUCAAUUUGUCAGAGAACUGCCCUGUCAAGGCGAAAGUUGCGGGUUCAAGUCUCAUCAGUCCCG
Transfer RNA from Gossypium raimondii (Peruvian cotton), 74 nucleotides. It matches the Rfam family "tRNA". From Rfam's summary of the family: Transfer RNA (tRNA) molecules are approximately 80 nucleotides in length. Their secondary structure includes four short double-helical elements and three loops (D, anti-codon, and T loops). Lineage: Eukaryota; Viridiplantae; Streptophyta; Magnoliopsida; Malvales; Malvaceae. The record is from Rfam.